RNAcentral lists this transfer RNA (91 nucleotides) under Serratia quinivorans. Its description in RNAcentral is "tRNA-seC(tca)". Lineage: Bacteria; Pseudomonadati; Pseudomonadota; Gammaproteobacteria; Enterobacterales; Yersiniaceae. The record is from RNAcentral.
CCGGCGCGUUGCCCAGUGCAGAGGCUGCGACCUUCAGCGGCGCACUGCCCUUCGGCGCCACCAUCAGCGGUUCGAAGCCCGGCGCGCUGGC